RNAcentral lists this ribosomal RNA (579 nucleotides) under Xenopolyscytalum sp. I12F-02273. RNAcentral's name for it is "eukaryotic LSU rRNA". It matches the Rfam family "Eukaryotic large subunit ribosomal RNA", at positions 45 to 638 of the family's 3401-position model. Lineage: Eukaryota; Fungi; Ascomycota; Leotiomycetes; Helotiales; Hamatocanthoscyphaceae. The record is from RNAcentral.
AAAAAGCGGAGGAAAAGAAACCAACAGGGAUUGCCUCAGUAACGGCGAGUGAAGCGGCAACAGCUCAAAUUUGAAAUCUGGCUCUUUCAGGGUCCGAGUUGUAAUUUGUAGAAGAUGCUUCGGGUGUGGCUCCGGUCUAAGUUCCUUGGAACAGGACGUCAUAGAGGGUGAGAAUCCCGUAUGUGACUGGUUGCCUUCGCCCAUGUGAAGCUCUUUCGACGAGUCGAGUUGUUUGGGAAUGCAGCUCAAAAUGGGUGGUAAAUUUCAUCUAAAGCUAAAUAUUGGCCAGAGACCGAUAGCGCACAAGUAGAGUGAUCGAAAGAUGAAAAGCACUUUGGAAAGAGAGUUAAACAGUACGUGAAAUUGUUGAAAGGGAAGCGCUUGCAACCAGACUUGCACGCUGCCGAUCAUCCGGGGUUCUCUCCGGUGCACUCGGUUGCGUUCAGGCCAGCAUCGGUUUGGGUGGUUGGAUAAAGGCUGUGGGAAUGUAGCUUCUCUCGGGGAGUGUUAUAGCCCACGGUGCAAUGCAGCCUACCCGGACCGAGGACCGCGCUCGGCUAGGAUGCUGGCGAAAAAGGC